CUUAAUUCAGGAAAUUAUCCCUUAUUUCAGCGUGCCUGGAAACAUCCAGUCAAACAACGGUCCAGAGUUUACAGCUCAGGUGGUCCAGCUGGUCGCCAAGUCUCUCAACAUCUCCUGGAAACUACACAUCCCCUACCACCCUCAGUCGUCAGGUAGGGUUAAACGGGCUCACAGCAUCCUCAAAAAUCAUUUGGCCAAACUCACCAUAGAGGUAAAACUCUCUUAGCCCACACUCCUACCUCUUGCCCUAGCCCGGGUUAAAGCCACCCCACGGAAGCCAAUGGGUCUCAGCCCCUUUGAGUUGCUGUACGGCAGGCCUUUUCUAGUUUCUCACAAUCUCCCGGUACAACCGCCUCCUCUGGCUUCCUACCUUCCCUACCUCUCUCUCCCGCCACUUACUCAUGGAACACGCAGACCGUGCUCUCCCCGUGGUUCCGGGACCAGAGGACUCCCACUCAACUAUACCUCUCCAGCCAGACUCCUGUCAUUCAAAAAAUGAUACCUAUGGUGGAUGCCCAUACGCUUCUUGUGUUAUACCCACAAACUUUAGAACUGACACCACCCCAAAAAGUUGAAUGCUCUUCGCCAACAACCAAGGUAAAGUGUCCCUUAUCAUCCAUGAUCUCUGGGACGCCCACUGGAAAAGGGGUACGGCAGG
Sapajus apella (tufted capuchin) is the source of this 658-nucleotide long non-coding RNA. RefSeq lists it as uncharacterized. The record is from RefSeq and is a predicted model, not a curated record. The transcript is spliced from 2 exons. Lineage: Eukaryota; Metazoa; Chordata; Mammalia; Primates; Cebidae.